This 498-nucleotide ribosomal RNA is filed under the name uncultured bacterium. Its description in RNAcentral is "bacterial SSU rRNA". It matches the Rfam family "Bacterial small subunit ribosomal RNA", at positions 30 to 507 of the family's 1533-position model. The record is from RNAcentral.
AUGAACGCUAGCGGCAGGCUUAAUACUGCAAGUUGAGGGGCAGCAUGAUAUACGGAGUAUAUUGAUGGCGACCGGCGGACGGGUGAGUAAUAGGUAGGAAGACCUACCUCAUACGAGGGGGAUAGCAUAGAGAAAUCUGUGGUAAUACCCCCAUGAGGUUUAUAUGAAUAGAGGCAUAUAAUCAAAGCAUAAGCGAUUAUGCGGUAUGAGAGGGGGCCUACUGACCAUUAGCUAGUUGGUGAGGUAAGGGCUCACCAAGGCGAAGAUGGUUAGGGGUUUUGAGAGAGAGACCCCCCCACAUUGGAACUGAGAGACGGUCCAGACUCCUACGGGAGGCAGCAGUAGGGAAUAUUGGGCAAUGGGCGAAAGCCUGACCCAGCCAUGCCGCGUGAAGGAAGACGGCCUUAUGGGUUGUAAACUUCUUUACUACGCGAAUAGAGGUUAGUACGAGAUACUAAUAGGAAGGUAGUGUAGUAAAAAGCACCGGCUAACUCCGUG